Molecule: long non-coding RNA, 90 nt
Organism: Sphaeramia orbicularis (orbiculate cardinalfish)
Lineage: Eukaryota; Metazoa; Chordata; Actinopteri; Kurtiformes; Apogonidae
Exons: 3
Source: RefSeq, a predicted model, not a curated record
AUUCACACCUAUUUCAUUUGGUCUGUUGAAAAUGGACCACAGUUUGUUUCCCUGGAAACUCUGGACUUUUUUGGAUGUUAAUAAAAACAU